AGUAGCUGGGAUUACAGGCACCUGCCACCACGCCCAGCCGUGAGCCACUGCUCCCAGCCAGGAUCCAGUUUCUUGACUUAAUCAUUUACACUGUUUUUUCCAUUUCAAACUCUGUUUUCUUCACUCAUUCCAUUGGCAUGUUUCAGCGUUGAGAGCUGUGCCCUGUAGUGGACAAAGCAUAGAAUACUGGAGGCAUAGGGUAAUGAAAGGAGAGGAGGGGAUUACAGGGAUCAGCCUCACUUCAGGAUAAUAGAAUUGAAGAGAUUUGGAAGGCUGAGUGGAUGAAGUGUGUGAAGGAGAGGCCCCAAUCAAAUGAGAGUCUCAGGAUGCUGUUAGAGACAAGCGGGUGGACUGCAGUGUAGGGAAUUUUGCGGGAUGCAACUUUUGGACUUUGGGAGGAUUCUGCUCCUGCAAAUUGUCAGCUGACUGUCUUUCUGCCACUUCUCGGGAAUUUCUCCUAACGUAUUUUGACAAGAGUACUUUUCCUAGUCUGGCUUUGCCUUGGGUAUUUUUAGGCAGUGACUCAGCAGGGAAGGAUUUUCCAGAAUCCUCAUGUUAAAUAAAUGGUUCUCAUCUCAGAUUUCCUGAGGGCAACCACAGAGCAUAGAGUGAGCUCUGUGCCAGCCUGUGUUUUCCUAUUCAGGUAAAGUUCACAGGCUGCAAAGGAGGAGCCUUUUCAGAAGACAGCUCCAACAACUGGCUGUCAAAACCAAAGCCAAAUGCACACAAAGCGCCAAGACAGAGCUUUACAAUCUAGGCCCAGUGUUCUUGUUUCUGCUGCCUCAGAUGCUUCCCUUCUCCUCCUCUUGUCCAGAUCCACCCCUCCCUUCCCUCCUAGGACCAAGAGGCAUGUCCUCCGCCC
Sapajus apella (tufted capuchin) is the source of this 862-nucleotide long non-coding RNA. RefSeq lists it as uncharacterized. The record is from RefSeq and is a predicted model, not a curated record. Lineage: Eukaryota; Metazoa; Chordata; Mammalia; Primates; Cebidae. The transcript has 2 exons.